RNAcentral lists this ribosomal RNA (293 nucleotides) under uncultured eukaryote. RNAcentral's name for it is "partial 18S ribosomal RNA". It matches the Rfam family "Eukaryotic small subunit ribosomal RNA", at positions 6 to 297 of the family's 1831-position model. The record is from RNAcentral.
GGUUGAUCCUGCCAGUAGUCAUAUGCUUGUCUCAAAGACUAAGCCAUGCAUGUCUAAGUAUAAACAGAUUUAUACUGCGAAACUGCGAACGGCUCAUUAUAUCAGUUAUAAUCUACUUGAAUAUAAAAAUUACUUGGAUAACCGUUGUAAUUCAAGGGCUAAUACAUGCAAAGAGGUAUGACUGGUGACGGAAAUACUGUAUUUAUUAGAUCCAAAAUCAAUAGGUAGAAAUACUUAAAAUAAUUGAUGAUCCAUAAUAAUUAAAUGAAGCGUAAUAAUAUUACGCUAUUACA